GAACCUGCGGAAGGAUCAUUAUCGUAUUGAAAAGUGGGAGGGCAUGCGAGGGCUGUCGCUGACUCAAAGUCGUGCACGCCGGAGUGUGUCCUCUCACAUCAAAUCCAUCUCACCCUUUUGUGCACCAUCGCGUGGGUUCCCUUUGGGAUCGAACUGAUCCGGGAGGGGGCUUGCGUUUUCACACAAACCCCUUUGUAAAAGUGUAGAAGGACUUCAUUUUUUGCGAUGACACGCAAUCAAUAUACAACUUUCAACAACGGAUCUCUUGGCUCUCGCAUCGAUGAAGAACGCAGCGAAAUGCGAUACGUAAUGUGAAUUGCAGAAUUCAGUGAAUCAUCGAAUCUUUGAACGCACCUUGCGCCCCUUGGUAUUCCGAGGGGCACGCCCGUUUGAGUGUCGUGAAAACCUCAACCUUCUUGGUUUCUCCUGAACAUCGAAGAAGGCUUGGACUUUGGAGGCCUUUGCUGGAGUCUCUUUCAGAGGCCAGCUCCUCUCAAAUGAAUUAGCGGGGUCCUCUUUGCNGAUCCUUGGCGUGUGAUAAGACACUUCCACGUCUUGGCUUCUGGCUCUGUCACCUUUGGGACCUGCUUCUAACCGUCUCGACCGAGACGAUGUUUGAGCACGUCUCCCGUUUCGGGAAACCGGCUCAACCCCACGAACCCUUGACCUCAAAUCGGGUGAGACUACCCGCUGAACUUAAGCAUAUA
RNAcentral lists this ribosomal RNA (707 nucleotides) under uncultured Lactarius. RNAcentral describes it as "eukaryotic LSU rRNA". The stretch from base 246 to 399 matches the Rfam family "5.8S ribosomal RNA". Lineage: Eukaryota; Fungi; Basidiomycota; Agaricomycetes; Russulales; Russulaceae. The record is from RNAcentral.